This is an RNA transcript of Diceros bicornis minor, 2060 nucleotides long. It is a transcript of the gene named ataxin 10, with no coding region annotated. The record is from RefSeq and is a predicted model, not a curated record. The transcript is spliced from 11 exons. NCBI's taxonomy places the organism in Eukaryota, Metazoa, Chordata, Mammalia, Perissodactyla, Rhinocerotidae.
CCGCAGGCUGCAGCGGCGCAGCGGCGGCGGCCUCGUCCGGAGGGUGCGGGGCGCGCUGCGGCCCCUCCUGCUCGCGCUCCUGCCGCUUUCCCCGCUCCUCCUCCUCGUCGUCGCCCGGCUCGGCGAGAGCUGCGAGCGGCAAGAUGGCGGCGCCCAGGCCGCCGCCCGCUCGGCUGUCGGGCGUCAUGGUGCCCGCGCCCAUCCAGGACCUGGAGGCCCUCCGCGCGCUCACGGCGCUUUUCAAGGAGCAGCGGAAUCGAGAAACAGCGCCCAGGACUAUCUUCCAAAGAGUCCUGGAUAUCUUAAAGAAAUCUUCUCAUGCUGUUGAGCUGGCCUGCAGAGAUCCGUCCCAAGUGGAACAUCUGGCUUCCAGUCUGCAGUUAAUAACAGAAUGCUUCAGGUGUCUCCGAAAUGCUUGUAUAGAGUGUUCUGUGAACCAAAAUUCAAUCAGGAACUUGGAUACAAUUGGCGUUGCUGUUGAUUUGAUUCUUCUUUUUCGUGAACUUCGAGUGGAACAGGAAUCCCUGUUGACAGCUUUUCGCUGUGGCCUACAGUUUUUAGGCAAUGUUGCCUCACGGAAUGAAGAUUCCCAGUCUAUUGUUUGGGUGCAUGCUUUCCCAGAACUCUUUUUGUCUUGCUUAAAUCAUCCAGACAAAAAAAUUGUUGCCUACUCAUCAAUGAUUUUGUUCACAUCCCUUAAUUCUGAAAGAAUGAAAGAAUUGGAAGAAAACCUCAAUAUUGCGAUUAAUGUCAUAGAAGCGCACCAAAAGCAGCCUGAAGCAGAAUGGCCGUUCUUGAUUAUUACAGACCAUUUUCUGAAAAACCCGGAAUUGGUAAAAGCCAUGUAUGCCAAAAUGAGCAAUCAAGAAAGGGUUACAUUGUUAGAUCUUAUAAUAGCCAAAAUAGUGGGUGAUGAGCCACUGACCAAGGAUGACAUCCCUGUGUUUUUGAGCCAUGCUGAGUUGAUUGCAAGCACUUUUGUGGAUCAGUGCAAGAUUGUGCUAAGAUUGACCUCUGAGCAGCAUGCUGAUGAUGAGGAGGCACUGGCUACAAUUAGGCUUCUCGAUGUCCUGUGUCAAAUGACUGCUAAUACUGAUCUGCUCGGCUAUCUACAGGUUUUUCCUGGCUUGCUGGAAAGAGUGAUUGAUCUUUUACGACUGAUUCAUGUAGCUGGCAGUGAUACCUCAAACAUCUUUAGUACCUGUGGUUGCAUAAAAGCAGAAGGUGACAUCUCAAAUAUGGCUGAAGGGUUUAAGUCUCAUCUCAUUCGUCUGAUUGGAAAUCUGUGUUACAAGAAUAAAGAUAACCAGGACAAGAAGCCAGUCACCAUGUAAGAAGUGCAGAUUCCCUUAAAUCACCGUCCCAAGUGCACAUGAAGAUGCCUUGGAGGAUGAGAUGCAAUGAGGAGAGAGAAAGAGACUAGUUGAGGAAACCAAGGCACCAGAUGUGAGCGAGAGACCAUCUUGGAAGUUCUUUAGGUAGUUGCUCAGUUCCUUAGUUCUAAACUCAGUUCUUUAGUUGCUCAGCUGAUGCCACAUGAAUCAGGGACAGCCUGCCCUGCAAAACCCUUUCUGAAUUCAAGACCCAAAACAUUGUGAGAAAAAGUAAAAAAUUGGGAAAAAAGUAAGUUGUGUAGGUUCUGCUUCUGUUAAUGGCCCUGUAAGCUAUUAUUGGACUGAUCCACCUGCAGAUAAUAAUUAUAAACUCUGGACAAAAGACAGCUAUGUGAAGACACUCAAAUUUGACACACAGAGGCAGAUUUUGGAGUUGGAUCAACAGUUGGAAGAAGGGAACAGCACACUGUGUGCAAUGUAGGGCAGUUAAAACCGAUUGAAAAUCUACAGUCCUUUUGGCUUGAAGAAUCAAAGAACGAUUUGGAGCGACCACAGCUAUUGGAAAGUGAAGGAGGGAAUCCUGGAAAGGAGAAGGCAAGCCCCAACUUCUGUGUACCACCCGUCUAAAUCCCUGCUGAUACCUAAGUCACACCUGCAUGGGGCAGGCUCUAAGCAGCUAAGGUAAAUGAGCUGGAUGGCAUUCCACUGAUCCUGGACAGCUGCAGC